Molecule: ribosomal RNA, 520 nt
Filed under: uncultured bacterium
Lineage: Bacteria
Description: bacterial SSU rRNA
Rfam family: Bacterial small subunit ribosomal RNA
Source: RNAcentral
GGGAAUCUGCCCUUGGGUUCGGAAUAACAGUUAGAAAUGACUGCUAAUACCGGAUGAUGUCUUCGGACCAAAGAUUUAUCGCCCAGGGAUGAGCCCGCGUCGGAUUAGCUAGUUGGUGAGGUAAAGGCUCACCAAGGCGACGAUCCGUAGCUGGUCUGAGAGGAUGAUCAGCCACACUGGGACUGAGACACGGCCCAGACUCCUACGGGAGGCAGCAGUGGGGAAUAUUGGACAAUGGGCGAAAGCCUGAUCCAGCAAUGCCGCGUGAGUGAUGAAGGCCUUAGGGUUGUAAAGCUCUUUUACCCGGGAUGAUAAUGACAGUACCGGGAGAAUAAGCCCCGGCUAACUCCGUGCCAGCAGCCGCGGUAAUACGGAGGGGGCUAGCGUUGUUCGGAAUUACUGGGCGUAAAGCGCACGUAGGCGGCUUUGUAAGUUAGAGGUGAAAGCCCGGAGCUCAACUCCGGAACUGCCUUUAAGACUGCAUCGCUAGAAUCAUGGAGAGGUCAGUGGAAUUCCGAGU